Molecule: ribosomal RNA, 410 nt
Filed under: uncultured microorganism
Description: bacterial SSU rRNA
Rfam family: Bacterial small subunit ribosomal RNA
Source: RNAcentral
CAGCCGCCGCGGUAAUACGUAGGGUGCGAGCGUUAAUCGGAUUUACUGGGCGUAAAGCGUGCGCAGGCGGCCCGUUAAGACAGGUGUGAAAUCCCUGGGCUCAACCUAGGAAUUGCGCUUGUGACUGGCGGGCUCGAGUACGGUAGAGGGGGGUGGAAUUCCUGGUGUAGCAGUGAAAUGCGUAGAGAUCAGGAGGAACACCGAUGGCGAAGGCAGCCCCCUGGGCCUGUACUGACGCUCAUGCACGAAAGCGUGGGGAGCAAACAGGAUUAGAUGCCCUGGUAGUCCACGCCCUAAACGAUGGGUACUAGCCGUUUGGUGCGCGAUAGCGCUGAGUGGCGAAGCUAACGCGUGAAGUACCCCGCCUGGGGAGUACGGCCGCAAGGUUGAAACUUAAAGGAAUUGGCGGG